CCUACGGGAGGCAGCAGUAGGGAAUAUUGCUCAAUGGGGGAAACCCUGAAGCAGCAACGCCGCGUGGAGGAUGACGGUUCUCGGAUUGUAAACUCCUUUUGGUAAGGGAGCUAAUGACGGUACCUAACGAAUAAGCACCGGCUAACACCGUGCCAGCUGCCGUGGCAAUGAGUAGGGUGCAAGCGUUAUUCGGAAUCACGGGGCGUAAAGAGCGCGUAGGCGGGAUUGCAAGUCAGCUGUGAAAUCCUAUGGCUUAACCAUAGAACUGCAUUUGAAACUGUUAUUCUAGAGUAUGGGAGAGGUAGGUGGAAUUCUUGGUGUAGCGGUCAAAUCCGUAGAGAUCAAGAGGAAUACUCAUUGCGAAGGCGGCCUGCUAGAACAUAACUGACGCUGAUGCACGAAAGCGUGGGGAGCAAACAGGAUUAGAUACCCUAGUAGUC
RNAcentral lists this ribosomal RNA (440 nucleotides) under uncultured bacterium. RNAcentral describes it as "partial 16S ribosomal RNA". It matches the Rfam family "Bacterial small subunit ribosomal RNA", at positions 338 to 795 of the family's 1533-position model. The record is from RNAcentral.